CGGCGAUGAGGAGACACCUACUGUGUUGAGCGACGGUGAAACUUUCAUACGCUAUUCUGAGCCAGCA
Callithrix jacchus (white-tufted-ear marmoset) is the source of this 67-nucleotide small nucleolar RNA. Ensembl annotates it as small nucleolar RNA, C/D box 54. Its record names the gene SNORD54. The record is from Ensembl. Lineage: Eukaryota; Metazoa; Chordata; Mammalia; Primates; Cebidae.